AUUUAUUAGUAUUAAUAUAUUUGACUGUAUAAUAAAACAAAAUACAGUAUGUUAAUUUAUUGGCAUAUAUAUGUAGAAGAAGAUAUCAUAUGGAAUGAGGAAGGAUCGUAUACGUAUAUACUAUCUUUGUCUUCUUAUAUUUUCAUACAAUUAUGGAAGAAAAAAAAAGAAAAUUACUCACAUAAAAAUUCAGCAGAUAUACUGGCUCUUCAAGCUAGGUUUUUUUAUGUGAUAAUUAUGGUUCUAUAUGUGGAUUAAAAGGGCUAAGAUUAUUAAUUGUGGGUCUAGCUGUCUUAAUGUUUUUGGAUAUAGAAGUAUAGCACAGGGGAUGAAAUUACUGUUUGGAGUUGAUUGCAAGAAUCGCACACUUUGAUCUGAGAUAUAUAAUAUAAUAGAGAGCACCAUUGAUGUUCU
RNAcentral lists this long non-coding RNA (414 nucleotides) under Capsella rubella. RNAcentral's name for it is "long non-coding RNA (CRUB_LNC004778)". The record is from RNAcentral. Lineage: Eukaryota; Viridiplantae; Streptophyta; Magnoliopsida; Brassicales; Brassicaceae.